GACGAACGCUGGCGGCGCGCUUAACACAUGCAAGUCGAGCGAAGCGGCGGACGGGUGAGUAACACGUGAGUAACCUGCCUUAGACAUUGGGAUAGCCUCGGGAAACCGGGAUUAAUACCAAAUGGUCUAAGAUGGACUCGCUUACCAUUAGCUAGUUGGUGGGUAACGGCCCAACAAGGAGACGAUGGGUAGCCGGCCGGAGAGGGUGAACGGCCACAUUUGAACUGAGAAACGGUCCAAACUCGACGGGAGGCAGCAGUGCGGAAUAUUGCACAAUGGAGGGAACUCUGAUGCAGCGACGCCGCGUGAACGAAGAAGGCUUUCGAGUCGUAAAGUUCUUUUAUAUGGGAAGCGGUACCAUAAGAAAAAGCCCCGGCUAACUACGUGCCAGCAGCCGCGGUAAUAC
Molecule: ribosomal RNA, 406 nt
Filed under: uncultured bacterium
Lineage: Bacteria
Description: partial 16S ribosomal RNA
Rfam family: Bacterial small subunit ribosomal RNA
Source: RNAcentral